This 467-nucleotide ribosomal RNA is filed under the name uncultured bacterium. Its description in RNAcentral is "partial 16S ribosomal RNA". It matches the Rfam family "Bacterial small subunit ribosomal RNA", at positions 28 to 507 of the family's 1533-position model. The record is from RNAcentral.
GACGAACGCUGGCGGCGUGCUUAACACAUGCAAGUCGAACGGAAAGGCCUCUUUCGGGGGGUACUCGAGUGGCGAACGGGUGAGUAACACGUGAGUAACCUGCCCUUGACUUUGGGAUAACUUCAGGAAACUGGGGCUAAUACCGGAUAGGAGCUCCUGCUGCAUGGUGGGGGUUGGAAAGUUUCGGCGGUUGGGGAUGGACUCGCGGCUUAUCAGCGUGUUGGUGGGGUAGUGGCUUACCAAGGCUUUGACGGGUAGCCGGCCUGAGAGGGUGACCGGCCACAUUGGGACUGAGAUACGGCCCAGACGCCUACGGGAGGCAGCAGUGGGGAAUAUUGCACAAUGGGUGGAAGCCUGAUGCAGCAACGCCGGGUGCGGGAUGACGGCCUUCGGGUUGUAAACCGCUUUCGCUCAUGACGAAGCUUUGUGUGACGGUAGUGGGUAAAGAAGCACCGGCUAACUACGUG